Hordeum vulgare subsp. vulgare (domesticated barley) is the source of this 4326-nucleotide RNA transcript. RefSeq lists it as uncharacterized. The transcript is spliced from 13 exons. NCBI's taxonomy places the organism in Eukaryota, Viridiplantae, Streptophyta, Magnoliopsida, Poales, Poaceae. The record is from RefSeq and is a predicted model, not a curated record.
UCCCUCCCCAGCGAACGACCAGAGAGGCCCCCUUCCCGAGCGCGACAGCUAGGGUUCCUAGCCGCCGCCGGCCCGCCACCACUGCUGCCGGCCCUCCGCGGCGGCGCGCUUAGCCGUACGAAGCCGCCGCUGCCCCGCCGCCGGUACAGGAGCCCAGCAGCGCCUUCCUCCGUCGAGCAGCGCCUCCCUCCCUGGAGCUACGCCGGCGACCAGUCCAUAGGCAGGAUUUAGUGUGUUGCAGUUAAGAGCGAAGUUUUCCUCACAAGAGAGGAAGAAAGAAGUGACCUUAUCAAUAAACCUGAACGAGGGACAUUAUUGCACGCUGAGCUUCCUGCUCAUCUUAAUCACCCUUCAUAUCUGAUGAGGUCAAGAGCAUCAAGAGUAAAGCAGGCCGACACAGGUUCACCAGGUGAGAGGGACCUAUGCUUUUAAUUCUAAGUCAUUCGAUGGAAAGAGGCACACCACAGAACAUUGCAAUACUGAUGUUUCAUUUUCUGAGCUUGAAGGAGCCUUCAGUGCGCCUGUUAGGAAGAAAAGAGGGAGAAGAGCACCUCCAUCUUCUAGAUGUUUACGUGGUAAAAAGGAUGAUAAUGUCAUGAGCAGUGAUGACGCUAUUACAGAAGAAGACGAUGCUGCCUCUCCUUCAAGCAGGAAGGCAAAACAGCAGAAUCAUGGGGAGAUAGCUGUUGGAAGCUCAGCUGGCCCCACAGGCCAGAGUGUCUCAGUAAAUGAAGCACAUGAAAACUCAAGGGCAUUGAAAAAUACUUCUAAUGUGCAAACAACUGCUGUUAAGAAGACUACUGCUGAGGAUAAAACUUCUCGAGCAAUCAUGGAUGAUGUUUUUAAUGCAGAGAUAGAUUCCACGUCUUCAGAUGAUGAGAGUACCGAAGAAGUUGAGGAUGUGAAAGUUUGUGACAUAUGUGGAGAUGUUGGUGAUGAGGUGAAGCUUGCUGUUUGCAAUAGAUGCAACGAUGGCGCUGAGCAUACUUAUUGCAUGCGGGUGAUGAUGGAAAAGGUUCCGGAUGGUGAGUGGUUUUGUGAAGAGUGCCAAACUGAAGUAGAACUUGAAAAGGAGAAGUUAGAAAAACCUCAGGUGAAGCUUGUCACUUCAAAGGAAGAGUCUGUUGAAGGGAAAAUCAGUAAACCUUUCAAUGAUGCAAACAGCAGAAGUCCUUGUGAGAAUGAAGUGGAGGAUGAAACUGUUGGCAGAAAAGAACGGAAUGAAGCAAAUCAAGGCAUUGAUAUGGUUGAAGAUGCAAAGAUUCUGCCUGUGGCUAAACAAAAUAUUCCUGAACCUGGUGGUUUAUCAAUGGAGUCUUACUCCAGAAAAGGAAUACCUCUGCCACGCGAGAGCUCAUUCAGGUUGGAUAAGGAGAAAGGAAAGCAACCUACUUCCCAAGUGCCAAUCUUACUUGGGUCUAAUGCUAGCAAGAAUCAGGCACCACCACUUACAGGUCAACUCUCCAAGUCCACUUCUUUCAACAACUCUAAGGUGCCCAAGGUGAAGCAACUAGUGAAUGAAGUUCCUCAGAAGACUAAAACUUGGAAGGAACAGUUGUCCUGUAGUAUGAGAAAAGAGGGGCCAACGAGCUUUUCAACUAAGUCAGCAUCAUUCAAAAAGCCCAAAACUUGUGAGCCAGCAAAUAAGGCAAAGUCUUCCAUCAUACCACCUGCUGAGGAGCUAAGUGCGAUGAAUUUACCAGUGAGCCGAAAUGUAAGUAAUGAUAGAGGCACUUCUAUAUUAGGAUGCCCCUCAAUUACUGGACCACUGGCUUUUCCAGUUCAAUCAAGAGCAGAAUCUGCAGCUCAGCGCCUCACUACAGGAAAUAACAUAUCUGCCUCUAGCAAUUCAGGCCAUUUUACCCAAUUUUGUGGUGUUGAUAAAUUAGGUUUGUCUGCAAUGAAACCUCUGAGUGAGCGAAACUUGAAGGAUGCCUCUGCCAAAAGGAAUAAAAUGUCUGAAGCUACUGAAAAAGUUACUUCCAGAUCAGCAGGUCAAUCUGAUCACAUCCUCAAAUGUGGUCCUUAUCAUGACCCAGAUCAAGAUCUGAGAAGCAGUUCAUCUACGUCUAUGAGAACAGCUUCCACAGACUAUAGCAGCCUGAAAUUCAAAGACUGUCGAGCUGUAUCGGCUGUAACAGGAAGAUCUGUUCCCAGCAGUUCUACUAUAUCAAGUGAUCCGAUUGACAAAUCGAGUCGAGGCUUUUCACCUGUUGAUAAAACAAUAGUUUCAACUGUUCCAGAGUUGGAUUAUAUUUGGCAGGGUGAUUUUGAGCUGUGGAGGACUGGAAGAUCACCUGAGCUAUGUGAUGGUUUUCAAGCUCACUUAUCAUGUUCUGCUUCACCAAAAGUGCUGGAAGUAGCAAAGAAAUUCCCUUCUAGAGUCCAGCUUGAAGAACUGCCUCGUCGAAACUCAUGGCCCACACAGUUUCAACAAAAUGGACCCACAUAUGAGAAUAUUGGUGUUUUCUUCUUUGCUAGAGAUGCUCAGAGCUAUGAACAUCAUUACAGUAAAUUGGUUCAGAAUAUGCUAAUCAAUGAUUUGGCACUCAGAGGAAAUAUCGAAACAGCUGAAUUAAUUAUAUUCCCUUCUAACAUCCUAUCAAAGAACUCUCAAAGAUGGAACAUGUUCUAUUUUCUAUGGGGUGUGUUUAAAGUGAAAAGAGAAGAUCACUGGAACCUUCCACUUGAUGUACCGAUAAGUAAAUGCGAACCUAAUUUGAAUGAGGAUCCCCUGACCGUGGAUCCGCAUACCUCCGUUUUGUCGUCUAGCCGUUCAUUGUCUGAAGACCAAAAUAAUGGCACUGACCCAGCCUGUUAUUUGGUUAAGUCUGCCACUUCCGCAGACCAUCAAUGUCUGCAAACUUCGGAAGCUAAUCUUCAGGGAUGUUCAAAUGGAGAUAACUCUUCGGUCCAGGCUGUGGCUGGAAGAGAUUUGAAAGAUCACUGUCAUGAUUCAAGUACGACAUGUUUUACAAAUAACAGGAGGGCAAUCGAUGAUUUUUCCACUGCUCCGGCAGGAAAACACAAGAUAAUUGCAUAUCCAGACUCUCAAAAGAAAAUGUGCGACGGUGGCAAUGUUGUUGAACCCAUUUUUGAUGUAAAUACGAUGCCAGUUACUUGCUCUAUCUCAUCAAUCCACAAACAAGAUAAUCAGAACAGAGCCAUCAACCUUAACAAUGCAGAGAGCCUGAUGGAUGUAGAUCAUGCAAAUAACAUUGAACUGAACUCAGGCACAGUGGAUCUUGUUUCACAUGCAUCACGUAGUGCACAAAAAAGAAAUGUGGAUAUGGCAAACUGGAUUGAUGGAGCCAAUGGAUCAGUAGACAAGAAAAUUAAAUUGGAUAAUGUAUCGUCCACUGUGGAGUCUAGUUUAAGUGGGACGAUCAGAGAUGGAAGGUUAUCAUCCAAGGUACACCCUCUAGCAGCUUUACCUGUUCAUGAUUGCACUGACAAUAAGACCAUGGCAGGAAUCUCAAAGAGUAAUGGAAAGUGCACAUUUCCGCUAGAUCUAAACGUGGUGGAUGAUGCAGAUAUAAACUCGGUGGAUGAUGCAGCGACUGGAAAUAGCAUGACCGUUCAGUCUGAAGAUUUACCUGAACAGAACACACAGGAUCUCAAGCCAGCAUUGGGGGACAACACAUCUUCUAGAAAACCGAUGGUUGAAGAAAAGUGGAAUAAAGGAGAUCCACCGCCUACUGAUAUGUCAGGCGCUCUGUCUCUCUCCCUUGCUUUUCCAGCAUCAAAGGAACAAUAGGCUGGUAAAAUGCAACCGGAAUCGCAAAGAGGCCUCAGAUUAGCAGUAGGAAUUACUCGUUUUCGAUUAACCAGUGAUGAUGGCUCCUUGCGUUUGCAUUCCUGAUGUCUUGCAAGAUGGAUCUUUGUAGCAUCAACCCACUGCACAAGGAGUCUGCUGAAGACACAACUAUCUUGUCAAUGUGCAAACAGAUGGCAUCUUUUAGAGUGCAUUUUGACGACUUUACAUGCUCCCGGCGGCACACCCAUGUUGAGUAUUGAAUUGCGAAGAACUUGAGAGAGUGGAUCAUGGCUUGUUUUGGUACAGAAAACAUACACAUAUAUUCAGCUGCUCUUCCAAACAUCGAUAGAGAUUUGAGCAGAGCUUCAGACUCUGCAUUUUAAGUACCAUCCAAUCUCUGCAUGUUAAAUAAAUCUCAUGUCAGUUUUUGUCUUUAGCUUGCAACAGUGCGAUAUACUCUGGGGGAAUGGUGGUGUAAACGCCUAAAAUUGGCACAUAACACUUAACUUUUCUGUUGCCUUAAAAUUGCCUCUGGGAUAUCUAAAUUUAUGAAAUCACUAGUUGAGGUA